Vigna unguiculata (cowpea) is the source of this 527-nucleotide long non-coding RNA. RefSeq lists it as uncharacterized. NCBI's taxonomy places the organism in Eukaryota, Viridiplantae, Streptophyta, Magnoliopsida, Fabales, Fabaceae. The record is from RefSeq and is a predicted model, not a curated record.
CCUACCACAUACCCUACAUUCUCAUCUUUUCCUCCACUCUUCUGUUUUCCAGAGCAACCUCCCUUCCUCUCCAAACUCCAGCAAAGUGCUCUGCUAGGGCACGACUUCCGUUCGUCUCCGAGCCAUCAAAAGACCUUCUUUUCUUCCAGUUUCAGCCACUGUCUUAGUUCUUGGAGCUGCUGUGCUACAUAGUUAGGAUCCGCUUGCUUUUAGUGCUCAAAACAAAGAUGGGAAUACUUCUGGAGGUAGGCCUGAUGGUGGUAGCGGUGCAGCCUAGUGGGCCCGUUGUUAUGGUUUUUGAAGGUGUCCUAUGGCCCUAGUGCCUUGUAGUUCCAUGCUCCUAGGGCAUUCCUUUUGCAUAACUUCUAAACCUUAGAAUUGUUUUGUUUAUGGCAUGGUUGUAUGCCCAAAUUUCUCUCUAAGUACUCCUAUGGAUGACUGUUAAAGUACACUCUUGAACUCCGUUUUCUUUUGUUCGCGUUGCCCUUGAAAUAUUAUAACUGCGCGACGUUUUGUUUAUUGGAUUA